This 397-nucleotide ribosomal RNA is filed under the name uncultured bacterium. RNAcentral's name for it is "partial 16S ribosomal RNA". It matches the Rfam family "Bacterial small subunit ribosomal RNA", at positions 523 to 918 of the family's 1533-position model. The record is from RNAcentral.
AUACGUAGGUGACAAGCGUUAUCCGGAUUUACUGGGCGUAAAGGGCGUGUAGGCGGUCUUGCAAGUCAGAAGUGAAAUUCCUGAGCUCACCUCGGGCGCUGCUUCUGAAACUGCAGGACUUGAGUGCUGGAGGGGAUAGCGGAAUUCCUAGUGGAGCGGUAAAAUGCGCAGAUAUUAGGAAGAACACCGGUGGCGAAGGCGGCUAUCUGGACAGUAACGGACGCUGAGGCGCGAAAGCGUGGGGAGCAAACAGGAUUAGAUCCCCUGGUAGUCCACGCCGUAAACGAUGAAUACUAGGUGUAGGGGGUAUCGACUCCCUCUGUGCCGCAGUUAACACAAUAAGUAUUCCGCCUGGGGAGUACGGCCGCAAGGUUGAAACUCAAAUGAAUUGGCGGGG